GCCUUGAGCGCGGAUCUUCAGAGAUUAGAGUUUGAUCAUGGCUCAGAUUGAACGCUGGCGGCAUGCUUUACACAUGCAAGUCGAACGGCAGCACAGCAGAGGUAACUCUGUGGGUGGCGAGUGGCGAACGGGUGAGUAAUACAUCGGAACGUACCCUGUUGUGGGGGAUAACUACGCGAAAGCGUAGCUAAUACCGCAUACGCCCUGAGGGGGAAAGCGGGGGACCCUAAAUAGAGCGCACUGGGGAGUGCGUUGUAUUUAGGGCCUCGCGCAAUAGGAGCGGCCGAUGUCGGAUUAGCUAGUUGGUGAGGUAAAGGCUUACCAAGGCGACGAUCCGUAGCUGGUCUGAGAGGAUGAUCAGCCACACUGGGACUGAGACACGGCCCAGACUCCUACGGGAGGCAGCAGUGGGGAAUUUUGGACAAUGGGGGCAACCCUGAUCCAGCCAUGCCGCGUGAGUGAAGAAGGCCUUCGGGUUGUAAAGCUCUUUCGGACGGAAAGAAAUCGCGCAGGUGAAUAAUCUGCGUGGAUGACGGUACCGUAAGAAGAAGCACCGGCUAACUACGUGCCAGCAGCCGCGGUAAUACGUAGGGUGCGAGCGUUAAUCGGAAUUACUGGGCGUAAAGCGUGCGCAGGCGGCUUUGUAAGACAGGUGUGAAAUCCCCGGGCUUAACCUGGGAAUGGCGCUUGUGACUGCAAGGCUCGAGUGCGGCAGAGGGGGGUGGAAUUCCACGUGUAGCAGUGAAAUGCGUAGAGAUGUGGAGGAACACCGAUGGCGAAGGCAGCCCCCUGGGUCGACACUGACGCUCAUGCACGAAAGCGUGGGGAGCAAACAGGAUUAGAUACCCUGGUAGUCCACGCCCUAAACGAUGCCAACUAGUUGUUGGGGAAGGAGACUUCCUUAGUAACGAAGCUAACGCGUGAAGUUGGCCGCCUGGGGAGUACGGUCGCAAGAUUAAAACUCAAAGGAAUUGACGGGGACCCGCACAAGCGGUGGAUGAUGUGGAUUAAUUCGAUGCAACGCGAAAAACCUUACCUACCCUUGACAUGCCAGGAACUCUGCUGAGAGGUGGAGGUGCCCGAAGGGAGCUGGACACAGGUGCUGCAUGGCUGUCGUCAGCUCGUGUCGUU
RNAcentral lists this ribosomal RNA (1131 nucleotides) under uncultured bacterium. RNAcentral describes it as "bacterial SSU rRNA". It matches the Rfam family "Bacterial small subunit ribosomal RNA", at positions 1 to 1069 of the family's 1533-position model. The record is from RNAcentral.